This 391-nucleotide ribosomal RNA is filed under the name uncultured bacterium. RNAcentral describes it as "bacterial SSU rRNA". It matches the Rfam family "Bacterial small subunit ribosomal RNA", at positions 335 to 715 of the family's 1533-position model. The record is from RNAcentral.
ACUCCUACGGGAGGCAGCAGUGGGGAAUAUUGCACAAUGGGCGCAAGCCUGAUGCAGCCAUGCCGCGUGUGUGAAGAAGGCCUUCGGGUUGUAAAGCACUUUCAGUCGUGAGGAAGGUAGUGUAGUUAAUAGCUGCAUUAUUUGUACGUUAGCGACAGAAGAAGCACCGGCUAACUCCGUGCCAGCAGCCGCGGUAAUACGGAGGGUGCGAGCGUUAAUCGGAAUUACUGGGCGUAAAGCGCAUGCAGGUGGUUUGUUAAGUUCAGAUGUGAAAGCCCGGGGCUCAACCUCGGAAUAGCAUUUGAAACUGGCAGACUAGAGUACUGUAGAGGGGGUAGGAAUUUCGAGGUGUAGCGGUGAAAUGCGUAGAGAUCUGAAGGAAUACCGGUGG